UCGAGGGGUAACAGGGAGCUUGCUCCGCUGACGACCGGCGCACGGGUGCGCACCGCGUAUGGAACCUACCUUGUACAGGGGAAUAGCCUUUGGAAACGAAGAUUAAUGCCCCGUGGUACCACGCCCUGGCAUCGGGAUGUGGUUAAAGCCUUCGGGCGGUACAAGAUGGCCAUGCGUCCCAUUAGCUUGUUGGUAAGGUAACGGCUUACCAAGGCUACGAUGGGUAGGGGCCCUGAGAGGGGGAUCCCCCACACUGGUACUGAGACACGGACCAGACUCCUACGGGAGGCAGCAGUGAGGAAUAUUGGACAAUGGAGGAGACUCUGAUCCAGCCAUGCCGCGUGCAGGAAGAAUGCCCUAUGGGUAGUAAACUGCUUUUAUACAGGAAGAAAAAGAGCUACGUGUAGCUUACUGACGGUACUGUAAGAAUAAGGACCGGCUAACUCCGUGCCAGCAGCCGCGGUAAUACGGAGGGUCCGAGCGUUAUCCGGAAUUAUUGGGUUUAAAGGGUCCGUAGGCGGGCCGAUAAGUCAGGGGUGAAAGUUUGCAGCUCAACUGUAAAAUUGCCUUUGAUACUGUUGGUCUUGAGUUAUAGUGAAGUUGCCGGAAUAUGUAGUGUAGCGGUGAAAUGCAUAGAUAUUACAUAGAACACCGAUUGCGAAGGCAGGUGACUAACUAUAUACUGACGCUGAUGGACGAAAGCGUGGGGAGCGAACAGGAUUAGAUACCCUGGUAGUCCACGCCGUAAACGAUGGAUACUAGCUGUCCGGGUCCUUGAGACCUGGGCGGCCAAGCGAAAGUGAUAAGUAUCCCACCUGGGGAGUACGUUCGCAAGAAUGAAACUCAAAGGAAUUGACGGGGGCCCGCACAAGCGGUGGAGCAUGUGGUUUAAUUCGAUGAUACGCGAGGAACCUUACCAGGGCUUAAAUGCAUAUUGACAGGUCUAGAGAUAGAUUUUCCUUCGGGCAAUUUGCAAGGUGCUGCAUGGUUGUCGUCAGCUCGUGCCGUGAGGUGUCAGGUUAAGUCCUAUAACGAGCGCAACCCCUACCGUUAGUUGCCAGCAUGUCAUGAUGGGGACUCUAACGGGACUGCCGGUGCAAACCGUGAGGAAGGUGGGGAUGACGUCAAAUCAUCACGGCCCUUACGUCCUGGGCCACACACGUGCUACAAUGGCAGGUACAGAGAGCAGCCAUGUCGCAAGGCAGAGCGAAUCUAUAAAACCUGUCACAGUUCGGAUCGGGGUCUGCAACUCGACCCCGUGAAGCUGGAAUCGCUAGUAAUCGGAUAUCAGCCAUGAUCCGGUGAAUACGUUCCCGGGCCUUGUACACACCGCCCGUCAAGCCAUGGAAGCCGGGAGUGCCUG
RNAcentral lists this ribosomal RNA (1363 nucleotides) under bacterium. Its description in RNAcentral is "bacterial SSU rRNA". It matches the Rfam family "Bacterial small subunit ribosomal RNA", at positions 62 to 1423 of the family's 1533-position model. The record is from RNAcentral.